AUGAGCUUAUACUGCUAUGGCCUCCGUGACACAACACCAUCUUACGCCGUCAUCUUUGUGAACCUAAUUCCGUUGGCCACCUUCAUCCUAUCGCUCGUCUUCAGAAUGGAGACGUUGCGAAUCUGGAGUGUGGUUGGAUCGCUGAAGAUUGCAGGCGUUUUAUUCUCUGUUGGAGGCACAAUGCUCAUUAGCCUUUACAAGGGCAAGGCGUUGCAUCUCUGGGAUCCCAUCCUGAAGAUCCACCCCAAGGAACAAACAACCGAGGGUGCAGGGAAUCAACUAAGAGGGACAAUAUUCUUGGUAGGCAGCAGCUUCGCAUAUGCUUGCUGGUACCUGAUCCAGUCAAAGGUUCUCAAGGUGUAUCCAUACAAGUAUUGGUCAUCCAUGGUGACAUGCUUGGUUGGAGGAUUCCAAACAGCACUAGUUGGAAUAAUAUUGAAUACAGACAAGAACGCAUGGAAGCUAGGAUGGAAUCUCGACCUUGUGACUAUCUUGUACUCGGGGGCACUUGCAACAGCAGGGAAAUAUUGCCUGAACUCAUGGGCUGUUGCCAAGCGAGGCCCAACAUAUCCUCCGAUGUUCAACCCAUUGUCUGUGGUAUUCACAAUUUUGCUGGACUCCAUCAUCAUAGGCAAUGAAAUUACAGUCGGAAGCCUGCUCGGUACAACAAUGGUGCUUGUCGGGCUUUACACUUUCCUAUGGGCAAAAUCAAAAGAAGUACGUGACAAAUAG
This 732-nucleotide ribosomal RNA is filed under the name Triticum aestivum (bread wheat). RNAcentral describes it as "partial small subunit ribosomal RNA". Lineage: Eukaryota; Viridiplantae; Streptophyta; Magnoliopsida; Poales; Poaceae. The record is from RNAcentral.